GGCAUACUAACUUAAAAUUUGCGAGGGAUCGUUCUACUUCUAACAUCACAGCAUGCAAAAAGUAAAACAUAAACAGAAUAGCAUUCACACAGCUUGUGACACAGUAUGGCCCGUUUUCAUAUGGUGAUGUCCAUCUCCAUAGAACCUGUUCACCAUUGUGAUCUCCAUCUCCAUGUUCCAUGUGCGCCAUCCUCCUGGUGAUGAGUCCUCCAAGAACUAGAGCAUGCUAUUACGCCUAAUAGCUAGUAAAGAAUCUAGUAAUGAAGAUUACAUAGUUGCUUGGAUCAUCACAGAUU
Molecule: long non-coding RNA, 296 nt
Filed under: Setaria viridis
Lineage: Eukaryota; Viridiplantae; Streptophyta; Magnoliopsida; Poales; Poaceae
Description: long non-coding RNA (SVIR_LNC007929)
Source: RNAcentral